AUGAAAAGAACUUUGAAAAG
This 20-nucleotide unclassified non-coding RNA is filed under the name Chlamydomonas reinhardtii. Its description in RNAcentral is "small RNA Cre_0709". Lineage: Eukaryota; Viridiplantae; Chlorophyta; Chlorophyceae; Chlamydomonadales; Chlamydomonadaceae. The record is from RNAcentral.